Molecule: small nuclear RNA, 115 nt
Organism: Neoarius graeffei (lesser salmon catfish)
Lineage: Eukaryota; Metazoa; Chordata; Actinopteri; Siluriformes; Ariidae
Product: U5 spliceosomal RNA
Exons: 1
Source: RefSeq, a predicted model, not a curated record
AGCUCAGGGUUCUUUUCAUUGCCGCAUAAAUCUUUCGCCUUUUACUAAUUAUUUCCGGAGCGAGACAUGUUAAUGAGUUCAACAUAUUUUUGUAAGCUUUUUGUGAUUUGUGGAA